This 1288-nucleotide ribosomal RNA is filed under the name Nematoda environmental sample. RNAcentral describes it as "SSU rRNA". It matches the Rfam family "Eukaryotic small subunit ribosomal RNA", at positions 39 to 1340 of the family's 1831-position model. Lineage: Eukaryota; Metazoa; Nematoda. The record is from RNAcentral.
AAAGAUUAAGCCAUGCAUGUCUCAGUAUGAACUAUCUAUUGUGAAACCGCGAAUGGCUCAUUACAACAGCCAUAGUUUACUGGAUAUAUUCCAUUACAUGGAUAACUGUGGUAAUUCUACAGCUAAUACACGCAUCAAAACCCUGACUUCGGAAAGGGUGCGUUAGUUACUUCAAACUGACUAGACUUCGGUCUGGCUCCAAGUGAAAUUGAACUAUUUAGCUGAUCGCACGGUCUAAGCACCGGCGACAUAUCCUUCAAAUGUCUGCCUUAUCAACUGUCGAUGGUAGAUUAUGCGCCUACCAUGGUUGUAACGGGUAACGGAGAAUCAGGGUUUGAUUCCGGAGAGGGAGCCUGAGAAAUGGCUACCACAUCCAAGGAAGGCAGCAGGCACGCAAAUUACCCACUCCCGGCACGGGGAGGUAGUGACGGAAAAUAACAAGCUGGUCUCUUUGAGUUCCGGCAUUGUAAUGGGAACAACUUAAAUCAUUUAUCGAGGAUCUAUUGGAGGGCAAGUCUGGUGCCAGCAGCCGCGGUAAUUCCAGCUCCAAUAGCGUAUAUUAAAGUUGUUGCGGUUAAAAAGCUCGUAGUUGGAUCUACGAUCAAGGCUUGUGGUCGUCCUUCUCGGAUGUACUGCUUAGUCUGGUCGAAUUAUCUGGUGAACGAUUGAUGCUCUUCACUGAGUGUCUCUAGUUGCUGGAACGUUUACCUUGAAAAAAUUGAAGUGCUCAAAGCAGGCUUACGCCUGAACAUUGUUGCAUGGGAUAAUGAAUAGGACUUCGGUUCUAUUUUGUUGGUUUCGGAACGCGAAGUAAUGAUUAAUAGGGACAGACGGGGGCAUUCGUACUGCUGCGUUAGAGGUGAAAUUCUUGGAUCGCAGCAUGACGAACAACUGCGAAAGCAUUUGCCAAGAAUGUUUUCAUUAAUCAAGAACGAUAGUUAGAGGUUCGAAGGCGAUCAGAUACCGCCCUAGUUCUAACCGUAAACGAUGCCAACUAGCAAUCCGUCGGCGUUAAUUCUGACUCGACGGGCGGCUGCCCGGAAACGAUAAGUUUUUCGGUUCCGGGGGAAGUAUGGUUGCAAAUCCGAAACUUAAAGGAAUUGACGGAAGGGCACCACCAGGAGUGGAGCCUGCGGCUUAAUUUGACUCAACACGGGAAAACUCACCCGGCCCGGACACUGUAAGGAUUGACAGAUUGAAAGCUCUUUCACGAUUCAGUGGGUGGUGGUGCAUGGCCGUUCUUAGUUGGUGGAGCGAUUUGUCUGGUUAAUUCCGAUAACGAGCGAGA